AAGUCGUAACAAGGUUUCCGUAGGUGUGAACCUGCGGUGCAAGGAUAACGCUUGACGAUUUUGCAGCCGCAACACGCGGGCAGAGCUUUGCCAAAGGGUCCCCAUGCCCCUUCCUUCUGCCGAUUUCACAUACAAAGCUCCAUUUUCAAUUAUGGAUGGGGUAAAACCGAAAAACUGUUAACAAUGGAUAUCUUGGUUCUC
This 201-nucleotide unclassified non-coding RNA is filed under the name fungal sp. RNAcentral's name for it is "partial internal transcribed spacer region". The record is from RNAcentral. Lineage: Eukaryota; Fungi.